GUGCUCACUUCGCACCACAUAUACUAAACUUAGAACGAUACAGAGAAGAUUAGCAUGGCACUAUGCGAGAGGAUGACACGCAAAUACGUGAAGCGUUCUAUAAAAAA
Molecule: small nuclear RNA, 107 nt
Organism: Cercocebus atys (sooty mangabey)
Lineage: Eukaryota; Metazoa; Chordata; Mammalia; Primates; Cercopithecidae
Source: Ensembl